This 910-nucleotide ribosomal RNA is filed under the name Bacillus sp. NCCP-1227. Its description in RNAcentral is "bacterial SSU rRNA". It matches the Rfam family "Bacterial small subunit ribosomal RNA", at positions 63 to 952 of the family's 1533-position model. The record is from RNAcentral. Lineage: Bacteria; Bacillati; Bacillota; Bacilli; Caryophanales; Bacillaceae.
CGAGCGAAUGGAUUGAGAGCUUGCUCUUAUGAAGUUAGCGGCGGACGGGUGAGUAACACGUGGGUAACCUGCCCAUAAGACUGGGAUAACUCCGGGAAACCGGGGCUAAUACCGGAUAACAUUUUGAACUGCAUGGUUCGAAAUUGAAAGGCGGCUUCGGCUGUCACUUAUGGAUGGACCCGCGUCGCAUUAGCUAGUUGGUGAGGUAACGGCUCACCAAGGCAACGAUGCGUAGCCGACCUGAGAGGGUGAUCGGCCACACUGGGACUGAGACACGGCCCAGACUCCUACGGGAGGCAGCAGUAGGGAAUCUUCCGCAAUGGACGAAAGUCUGACGGAGCAACGCCGCGUGAGUGAUGAAGGCUUUCGGGUCGUAAAACUCUGUUGUUAGGGAAGAACAAGUGCUAGUUGAAUAAGCUGGCACCUUGACGGUACCUAACCAGAAAGCCACGGCUAACUACGUGCCAGCAGCCGCGGUAAUACGUAGGUGGCAAGCGUUAUCCGGAAUUAUUGGGCGUAAAGCGCGCGCAGGUGGUUUCUUAAGUCUGAUGUGAAAGCCCACGGCUCAACCGUGGAGGGUCAUUGGAAACUGGGAGACUUGAGUGCAGAAGAGGAAAGUGGAAUUCCAUGUGUAGCGGUGAAAUGCGUAGAGAUAUGGAGGAACACCAGUGGCGAAGGCGACUUUCUGGUCUGUAACUGACACUGAGGCGCGAAAGCGUGGGGGAGCAAACAGGAUUAGAUACCCUGGUAGUCCACGCCGUAAACGAUGAGUGCUAAGUGUUAGAGGGUUUCCGCCCUUUAGUGCUGAAGUUAACGCAUUAAGCACUCCGCCUGGGGAGUACGGCCGCAAGGCUGAAACUCAAAGGAAUUGACGGGGGCCCGCACAAGCGGUGGAGCAUGUGAUUAUUUC